AGGAUGAACGCUGGCGGCGUGCCUAAUACAUGCAAGUCGAGCGCCCCUUUAAGAGGUGACAAUCAUUGAUUGUCGGUUCCUAUGGGGAGCGGCGGACGGCUGAGUAACGCGUGGGAACGUGCCCCAAAGUGAGGGAUAAGCACCGGAAACGGUGUCUAAUACCGCAUAUGAUCUUCGGAUUAAAGCUUUAUGCGCUUUGGGAGCGGCCUGCGUCCUAUUAGAUAGUUGGUGAGGUAAAGGCUCACCAAGUCAACGAUGGGUAGCUGGUCUGAGAGGAUGACCAGCCAGACUGGAACUGAGACACGGUCCAGACU
Molecule: ribosomal RNA, 314 nt
Filed under: uncultured soil bacterium
Lineage: Bacteria
Description: bacterial SSU rRNA
Rfam family: Bacterial small subunit ribosomal RNA
Source: RNAcentral